This 119-nucleotide ribosomal RNA is filed under the name Salmo salar (Atlantic salmon). Lineage: Eukaryota; Metazoa; Chordata; Actinopteri; Salmoniformes; Salmonidae. The record is from RNAcentral.
AAUUAUUAUUAUUUUUUUUUAAAUACGCCUGAUUUCGUCUGAUCUUGGAAGCUAAGCAGUGUCAGGUCUGGUUAGUACUUUCUUGGGAGACAGCUUGGGAAUACCAGGUGCUGUAAGCU